GAAAACCUGAAGAGGAAAGUACUGGGAGAGAAGAGAGGCAGCAGCUUCUCAUCAUGUUCAUCUUUUGAGCUACUCGCAGCUCAUCUAUGGAAGGUCAGGACCAAGGCUUUAGGAGUGAGGAAGGAAAGAAUGGUGUGCCUGCAAUUUGCCGUGGACGCAAGGAACAAGAUGGUGCCCUCACUGCCUAAAGGUUUCAGUGGCAAUGCUUAUGUUCUGGCAUCAGUCUCAAUAAGAGCCGGCGAACUGGAAGUAGAAAGCCAUGAAGCGAUAAUAGAGAAGAUAAAACAAGCUAAGAACUCUGUCAACAGUGACUAUGUGAAUGCAUAUAUGGAGGCACUUGAUGGACCCCAAGCUAAUCUCCCUCCUCUUAAUGAGCUCACAUUGGUUUCUGACUGGACAAGGAUGCCAUUUCACAAGGUUAAUUUUCUACAGGGAGACGCAGCCUAUGCUUGUCCUCUUGUCUCUCCAUUCCCUCAGGCUGCUUACUUUAUGCAGAAUCCAAUCGACUUCAGAGGUAUUGAUGUGAGGAUUGGCUUACCUCCACAGGCCCUGGAUGCUUUCUCCCACUACUUCCUCAUUAAUCUUUUAUAAACCUGAAGCAUCCUCCUUAUAUCUUUGUUUAGUAAUUAACUUGCCCUUUUUGCUUGAGAUGGGUAAUGGACUUUAGGAGGCAGUGAAGAUUAUAAGAAAAUGAUUACCACAGGUUGUAAUAAUGGUAUGUCAUACUCAGUUGUUGAAAAGCUAGUUUUUAGAUACAUGAUACAUAAUAAGGAACUGCCAUUUCUUAAGAGGUAAUCCAGAUCCCAUUUCUUGUCAUAAUAGUAAGAGGUGCUUUUCUAGGUCAAAUACUGCUCCUUCUCUUUAAUGUGGGUCCUCGGAUAAUCUCAAGCUUAAGGAGAAGCAUGUAAAAACAAGCAAAAAACUCUGGGCUCAUGAUCAAGAAGAUGCAUUUCCUAUAGUUCAAAAACAAAAACGCUCUUGGAAAUUUUCACAAGUUGAAACUGUUCAACCAGCUAGAAACAUUCGCUCUGCUGAAAUAAAAACAACUGCUAGUAGCAUAGAGUUGUCUAGGGAAAAACUAGAAAUGGAAAUCACAGAUCAAUGAAGUAUCAAUUACACAAGGAAAACGUGAUUCUAUGGCAGAUCCUUCUCUCUUGGAGAUUCUGGCAGCAAAAAUCUGCUUUACAUGCACGUCCUAAGAGAAUAAGAACCAAACCCAAAUUCUUCUUCUGUUAUUGUCACCUUAUCUUGCUCCUGUUUCACCAUUACACUCUCUAAAUCAUCCAAGGAGCCAAAAUUAUUAGAAAAAUAACUACCCUGUGGCUUCUGUUGGCCUAUCACAUAUCCUUCAUUUGAACUCAUCAGGGUCUCCAUUGCCAAAUUGUCAACCUCAUUGUGCUUCAACAGAAAUGGAUCCACAAUAUCUGAUUGCCUUGUUGAAUUGAAGCUCUUGGUUCUCUGGAAAAUUGCAUUAUUUGGGUCCAAACUCUGGCCCAUAGGACUCCCAGUGCCAUGAUUAGGAAUUACAGAGUUUAUUGAACUACAUUCGGCAUUUGAGUGGUAAGUGGCAUCUCGCCUCUGGCUCUGGUCAUCCCACCCUUGUGGGGCAUUAUUAAUUAUUUGUCUGGUAUUACUUCUAAUUGAAGCUAUUUGGCACUGUAAAUCUGCCUUAGAGUCCUGCAAGUGAAUUGGCACUGUAGAAAUAGAAGAGACUUGAGAAGGAUUAUUCCCACUUUGCAAAGCCAUUGUUGACAUGCUAUCUCUGAUGUUACUAGGAAGCAGGGUAGCUUGUUUGAAACAGUCAUUUAAGCCAAAAGAAUUCGAUUGGUCACCUGUUGACUGAACAGCACUUGACCAGGUGUCAUUACAUCUACCAUGAUCCAAAAAAUUGGAAGAAAAUCCUGAAUCUAAAGAGGCCACAGUAAGAGAAGAUUGUUUUCCAAAUUGUCGGCCAUCUUGAACCUCUUGAACACUCCCUUCUAACAUCAAGGGUUUGUUUGAAACACCAAGGAAAGCACUGUUUGAGCUGCUAGCCAUUAUUUUUGCAUCCUGGAAACCAUUGGAAACAGAGAAAGUAGUUGUAUUAUUAACAUCAGUAGGAAGUUCUCUGAUAUAGGUAACACCCUUGUUAGGUUGUAUUUGAUCAACUUCCAAUGACAUCGGCAUCCCUUGAAGCACAUUCCCAUCAUUUCCAGUAUGCACAAUUGACUGAAAUUGGCUCUGACAAUUAGUCAAGUGGCCUGGGGUUGGCAAAGGACCUAUUUGAAUCACUCCACUAGAAGGCAGACCACACAUACCAAGAGCAGCAGGCGAAUUCAACCUACCAAGCAUGCCACUUGGUGGGAGAGAUCUGAAAGCUGCAUUAUGAAACUGCCCAGUUCCAGCCAAAUUGGGGAACCCAAGUCCAUUCACAGAACUCAUUUGCAAAUACGAAGAAUCUGUACUGCCUAACGCUGCCACCAUAUUAGCUUGCUGAUUUGCAACAGUGCUGAUCCUUUUAAGGUAAAGCCUAUAUUUCUGUAGAUGGCUCGCAACAUUUUCUCUUGUAAGCUUUUCAACAUUCAUCAAAUCGAGAAUCUUUUUAGGGACAGCUUUGUCAAUGCCUAACUGAUUAACAGCUGCAACAAACUUGCGAUGCAGCUCUACUGACCAAACAACCCGAGGUUUCUUUUGGGUUGUCGGAUCCUCAUUUUCAUGUUCAUUAUCAUCACGAUCCUCAUCCUCGUCUUCAUUCUGGUCCUUCCUUUUUUUAUUAAGCUUCUGGUCGGCUGUGGCUUCACUACUUCCAUGAUGAAGCUUGUCUUGGUUGUCAAAGUGAUUCCUAUCCUUGUUAUUGAAUUUUCUUCUCCUAAUUACAUGUUGCCAGAUGUUCUUUAACUCCUCCAUUCGAACAGGCUUCAGCAAAUAAUCACAAGCUCCAUGACUAAUCCCUUUCAUCACAAGCUUUGGAUCACUAUUUGCCGACAACAUUAUGACAGGUAGGUCCAUCUCAAGCCCCACGAGCUCCAGCAAUUUAAAACCAUCCAUGUCUGGCAUAUGCACAUCACUGAUAACCAGGUCAAACUUGUUCUUGUUUUCUCUCAACAUCUUCAAUGCUGCAAUUGCCUGACUUGUCGUGGUAACAUGGUAUUGGCAUCGACGAAGCAGAGUCUCUAGCAGCAAGAGGCAAGUAGGGUCAUCGUCAACGGCCAAAACCCGCAUGCCAAUGGGAAACUGGUCUCUAGGUUGUCCAAUUCCUUGCUCUACAGUCAUUUUAGUCGAAUAAAAUUUGACAAAGGAAUAAAAGAGAAUAAAAUGAUAGUAGUAUCUGCUGUGAAGCUCAGAUUUGAACAAAACCCAGAAGCUAAAACAAACGCAGAGAUUGAAAAAAUGAGAGAUUUGAGGGAGAAAGUGAUUAAAGAUUGCGAAUUGAAGAAGGUGGAAUAUGGAUUAGAGAGAAAAAGGACUAAAAAAUAGAACAAUUAAGUUUAGUUGCUACUGCCUUAACCAUGAAAAAGAGAGAGAAUAUGGGAACUACAUUUUGGACGGUG
This 3530-nucleotide unclassified non-coding RNA is filed under the name Hevea brasiliensis (rubber tree). Lineage: Eukaryota; Viridiplantae; Streptophyta; Magnoliopsida; Malpighiales; Euphorbiaceae. The record is from RNAcentral.